GGGAAUGUGGUUCAGAUGGUAGAGCACAUGCCUAGCAAGCACAAAGCCCUGAGUUAAAAUCUCAGUGCUGCCA
RNAcentral lists this transfer RNA (73 nucleotides) under Dipodomys ordii (Ord's kangaroo rat). It matches the Rfam family "tRNA". Rfam says of the family: Transfer RNA (tRNA) molecules are approximately 80 nucleotides in length. Their secondary structure includes four short double-helical elements and three loops (D, anti-codon, and T loops). Further hydrogen bonds mediate the characteristic L-shaped molecular structure. tRNAs have two regions of fundamental functional importance: the anti-codon, which is responsible for specific mRNA codon recognition, and the 3' end, to which the tRNAs corresponding amino acid is attached (by aminoacyl-tRNA synthetases). tRNAs cope with the degeneracy of the genetic code in two manners: having more than one tRNA (with a specific anti-codon) for a particular amino acid; and 'wobble' base-pairing, i.e. permitting non-standard base-pairing at the 3rd anti-codon position. Lineage: Eukaryota; Metazoa; Chordata; Mammalia; Rodentia; Heteromyidae. The record is from Rfam by way of RNAcentral.